UGGGGAAUAUUGGGCAAUGGGCGCAAGCCUGACCCAGCCAUGCCGCGUGAGUGAUGAAGGCCUUCGGGUCGUAAAGCUCUGUGGGGAGGGAAGAAACCGCCUGUGGCUAACAUCCACGGGUCUUGACGGUACCUCCUUAGCAAGCACCGGCUAACUCCGUGCCAGCAGCCGCGGUAAUACGGAGGGUGCAAACGUUGCUCGGAAUCAUUGGGCGUAAAGCGCACGUAGGCGGCCUGAUAAGUCGGGUGUGAAAGCCCUGGGCUCAACCCAGGAAGUGCACUCGAAACUGCCAGGCUUGAAUAUGGAAGAGGGUCGCGGAAUUCCCGGUGUAGAGGUGAAAUUCGUAGAUAUCGGGAGGAACACCAGUGGCGAAGGCGGCGACCUGGGCCAAUAUUGACGCUGAGGUGCGAAAGCGUGGGGAGCAAACAGGAUUAGAUACCCCCGUAGUCC
Molecule: ribosomal RNA, 450 nt
Filed under: uncultured bacterium
Lineage: Bacteria
Description: bacterial SSU rRNA
Rfam family: Bacterial small subunit ribosomal RNA
Source: RNAcentral